UACGUAGGGACCGAGCGUUGUCCGGAUUCAUUGGGCGUAAAGAGCUCGUAGGCGGCUGCUCAAGUCGAAUGUGAAAACUCGAGGCUCAACCUCGAGCCUGCAUUCGAUACUGGGCGGCUAGAGUCUGGUAGGGGGAUCUGGAAUUCCUGGUGUAGCGGUGGAAUGCGCAGAUAUCAGGAAGAACACCAAUGGCGAAGGCAGCUCUCUGGGACGGUACUGACGCUGAGACGCGAAAGCGUGGGGAGCGAACAGG
RNAcentral lists this ribosomal RNA (253 nucleotides) under uncultured bacterium. Its description in RNAcentral is "partial 16S ribosomal RNA". It matches the Rfam family "Bacterial small subunit ribosomal RNA", at positions 524 to 776 of the family's 1533-position model. The record is from RNAcentral.